UAGCCUAGAUCUGGCCCCAGCAUCCUGU
This 28-nucleotide non-coding RNA is filed under the name Mus musculus (house mouse). The record is from RNAcentral. Lineage: Eukaryota; Metazoa; Chordata; Mammalia; Rodentia; Muridae.